Molecule: long non-coding RNA, 2486 nt
Organism: Ochotona curzoniae (black-lipped pika)
Lineage: Eukaryota; Metazoa; Chordata; Mammalia; Lagomorpha; Ochotonidae
Exons: 2
Source: RefSeq, a predicted model, not a curated record
GAUAUACUGGUGCCCAUAUGGGAUCCUGGUGCUUGAAGGGGGAGGAUUAGCCGAUUGGACUAUUGUUCUGGGUCCUAUUUUCUUUGUCUGCUAACUAUGUGAGGUGUGAUUCUAAGGUUACUUUUCUUUCCAUCUUCUAAGGUAAGGGCUGUGUGGGAGUUGUGGUUAGGAGCUUGGGGAAGCAGAAAUGUAAUUUGGGGGCAAGGUUGAUUUAAGGACAGAAGGCUGUAGUGGGUACCAGGUCUUAGUGCCAUGCAGACCUAUUCAUGGUUGUCUUUAGAGACCAUUUUUGCUACUUCCCUUUACAAUGAGAAGGAAGAAAUGAAUUACAUGUUGCUUUACUAAGAUAGAUGUACUAAUGGAGCUAACAGUAUUUUCCAUAUGAAUUAGCGCAAGGUUUUUCUGUGCAUUUUGAAUGUCACUUGUUUAUUUUUAACUCUAUGGGCAAAUAUAACUCUAUAUUUCUUCAAGAUAAAGUCCCAGUUCCGUAACUGUGAAACACUGAUGAAAAUCAAAGGUCUUUUUUGAUCAGAUUAUUUGAGGUUCAAAUAAAUCUUUAUGAUCACUGUCAGCACUUUAAAUGUGUUCUUUGGAGAAUCUAGUUACUUUUUGAUUUUCUAUGUGUUUGUUCUGUGUUUUGGGAUGGACUUUUUCUUAAGCAUCUGACAAACUCUUUUAGGAAACAGCUAAAUGAUCUAUGCUUUCCUUGUCUUUGUCUGAAACUGUUUCUUCCAGUACUGAUUUUAUUAUUUUUGUUUUGCUUGUCACUUUAGCUGAAGAAUUCUUUAAACGUAGAGCUUGAUAUGUUUGAUUUUCUAUUGGUGCUUUAUUUUCUUUUUAAAGAUUUAUUUAUGUGAAAGGCCGAGUUACAGAGAGAGAGGAAAAGCUGGAUUGAGAAAAAGAUCUGUGCCCUGGUUCGCUGCUCAGAUGACUGUGGGGCUGGACUAAGCUGCUGUCAGGAGGGCAGUAAUCUGUUUGGGCUUAGCACCUGUAUGGCUAGGGUCCAGGUACUCAUGCCAGAUUUUCUGCUUUCCCAGGUACUUCAGCAAAAAGCUGGAUCAGAAACAGAGCAGCCCGGGCCUAAGCGUCAGCAUUGUGAUAGGAGACGCUGGUGUUGAAAGCCAUGUUUUAACUUGCUGUGUUCCGUUUCUUAUGUAGCUUCUGCCACAUAGUGGAUGGGACAUUAGCAUAAGACAUUUGAAUAAAACUUCACGGUACUAUUUUAGCAGAUUUGGUUACAUCUUAGUUGUGUACUCGGUGCUAAUCCUGAAUAAAGUGACAGGCAAUGCAGAGGGAAUUGCAAAUCGAACUUUUAAAUUAAGUGAACCUACAGAUAGCUCUGAGAGUCACUUAUACAUAUAUCCUUCAGCAUGUUGGAAGAUGUGAUGGCCAAAUGUGCGUAGACAGACAUUAUGAGCAAAUGAUUGAUUUGAGUAGAUAUGAGAGUCAUGGUUUAUAAACAAAAUGAAAAGCAAAGGGACAAUGUUUUUCUAUGCUGUUGUGUGGAAGAAAAGUAUAGACUGAUGCUGUGAGGGUAACAGGAGGCCUCCAGUGACAUCACUGGCAUAAACAAGACUGCCUAAGAGAUACGGAUGAGUUUAUAAAACUGUGUCACAUAAUGCAAUGUAAUUAGUAAUAGAAAAAAAAAGAGAUACAGGAUGAGUCAGUGUUAAGUAUCAAAUGAGAAUCUGGCCUUUUGCAGCAUGUAGAUAAUGGAUGGGGUUGAGUUUUUAAUGGCUUUUUAUUUGUUGUUCAAAGUUUACUUUUAUUUCCUUCUGCAUUUAGAUUUUUUACUGUUUCUCCAAAUGGUUGUAAGCUUAGAACAUGACCACAGUACAGCUUAAUUCAUUACAUUUCUUUUGAUUUGCCUUGAGGACUUAGUAAAUGUAAUUGAUUUACUUUUUCACUAAUUUUGUUUAUCAGUAGAGCACCUGCUGGAGUUAGAUGACCUUUCUUUUUCACUAAAGGCUAAUAAUUACCUUUAAAUUUCCAAACUUCUUAGGGGAUCAGCAAGGGAUCAGGCUUAACUUCAGCCCCAGGAGGUCAAAAUGUUUUUUAAAAGGGGUGUUGUAGAAUAAAGGACAAUAUAAAAAUUUAUACGGGUGUUUAACGAUAAUAACUCCUUAGUGGAGAGAUAAUGAUGCAGUUUGCAAAGUAAAGCCGUGCAGUCCCAGUUUGUUGUUACGGCUAUUGCUACAACCAUCACUGUGACUUUCCCACCUGUCCCGAACCUUCUCAACCUUCUGGAGAAGUAAUGCUUUUGUAAAAUAAGAAGUUAGUGUGGAGGCUUUGGGGAGCAACUGUGGGUGUUUAUGUUCUUUAUUGAGAAUUUACUUCCUGUUCUUAUUCAGAGAAUUUAUUGGCAGUGAAUGUUGUGUUUCAUCAGCUGCAUUCCGCUUACUUACUCAGACAUGGGAUGUGGCUAUUAUGGCAAGCUACUUUGAAUGACUUUUGAUUGUUACACUCAGACUUAUAUUGGGAUAAAU